Molecule: ribosomal RNA, 573 nt
Filed under: uncultured archaeon
Lineage: Archaea
Description: bacterial SSU rRNA
Rfam family: Archaeal small subunit ribosomal RNA
Source: RNAcentral
CGGGGUGCACCAGGCGCGAAACCUUUGCCAUGCGCGAAAGCGUGACAGGGGAAUUCCGAGUGGUAGGGGGGUUUACCUCCCUAUCUUUUGGCCAAUCCAAACAAUUGGCAGAAUAAGAUCUGGGUAAGACCAGUGCCAGCCGCCGCGGUAAUACUGGCAGAGCAAGUGGUAUCCACGAAUAUUGGGUCUAAAGAGUCCGUAGCGGGCCUGUUAAGUCCACUGUGAAAUCUGGCGGCUCAACCGUCAGGCGUGCAGUGGAUACUGGCAGGCUUGGGAGUGGGGGAGGUCGGGAGUACUCACGGGGUAACGGUAAAAUGUUGUAAUCCUGUGAGGACUACCAGUGGCGAAGGCGCCCGACCAAAACACGUCCGACCGUGAGGGACGAAGGCUAGGAGAACGAAUCGGAUUAGAUACCCGAGUAGCCCUAGCAGUAAAUUAUGCAGACUGUGGUGUUGCGUCGACUUCGAGUCGGCGCAGUGCUGUAGCGUAGGUGUUAAGUCUGCCACCUGGGGAGUACGGCCGCAAGGUUGAAACUUAAAGGAAUUGGCGGGGGAGCACAAGGGCGAAUUCGCG